GUCCACGCCGUAAACGAUGGGUGCUAGGUGUCGCGGGCUUUGACUCCCGCGGUGCCGCAGCUAACGCAUUAAGCACCCCGCCUGGGAAGUACGGCCGCAAGGCUAAAACUCAAAGGAAUUGACGGGGGCCCCGCACAAGCGGUGGAGCAUGUGGUUUAAUUCGACGCAACGCGAAGAACCUUACCUGGGCUAGAAAAUGCAGGAACCUGGGAGAAGUCUCGGGGUGCCCUUCGGGGAGCCUGUAGUUAGGUGCUGCAUGGCUGUCGU
This 267-nucleotide ribosomal RNA is filed under the name uncultured bacterium. Its description in RNAcentral is "partial 16S ribosomal RNA". It matches the Rfam family "Bacterial small subunit ribosomal RNA", at positions 793 to 1055 of the family's 1533-position model. The record is from RNAcentral.